GACGAACGCUGGCGGCGUGCUUAACACAUGCAAGUCGAACGGAAAGGCCCUGCUUUUGUGGGGUGCUCGAGUGCCGAACGGGUGAGUAACACGCGAGUAACCUGCCCCUGACUUUGGGAUAACUUCAGGAAACUCGGGCUAAUACCGGAUAGGAUCUCCUGCUGCAUGGUGGGGGUUGGAAAGUUUCGGCUGUUGGGGAUGGACUCGCGGCUUAUCAGCUUGUUGGUGGGGUAGUGGCUUACCAAGGCUUUGACGGGUAGCCGGCCUGAGAGGGUGGACGGCCACAUGGGGACUGCGGUACGGCCCAGACUCCUACGGGAGGCAGUAGUGGGGAAUAUUGCACAAUAGGCGGAAGCCUGAUGCAGCAACGCCGCGUGCGGGAUGCCGGCCUUCGGGUUGUAAACCACUUUCGCCUGUGACGAAGCGUGAGUGACGGUAAUGGGUAAAGAAGCACCGGCUAACUACGUG
This 468-nucleotide ribosomal RNA is filed under the name uncultured bacterium. RNAcentral's name for it is "partial 16S ribosomal RNA". It matches the Rfam family "Bacterial small subunit ribosomal RNA", at positions 28 to 507 of the family's 1533-position model. The record is from RNAcentral.